This 10640-nucleotide long non-coding RNA is filed under the name Zea mays. RNAcentral's name for it is "long non-coding RNA (ZMAY_LNC002493)". The record is from RNAcentral. Lineage: Eukaryota; Viridiplantae; Streptophyta; Magnoliopsida; Poales; Poaceae.
AAAGAAGAACAUCACAUAUAAUGACAAAGUGUAUAGAGAUAAAUGUCACAAGUAUCAUUAUUACAUAGCGGAAGUAUCUUACAAAAAUAGAUGAUAACAAUACAGUGAACUAAAUAUUAUUCCUUGGCUCCAUAAAGCUCACUGGGAGACGCCACCUAGAUAAGCUCGUACUCUUCGUUGUAGGCCUCCUCCUGGACCAACUGUUCUUCUCCUAUGGAGGGGUUUAUAUAUCGCAAGAGUGAGCUCGCAAAAGAUCAUAGCUCAACAAGUUAUGGGGAAUAAUGUGCAUGAACUCACCAAAGGUGGGAGUUCAUGUGAAGUGUAAUGCUGAUCAACAAAUAAUGGUUAAAGCUGAGCAUUGCUUUUAAUAAGUUGGUCAAAUUUUAUUAGGAGUUACUAAAUUUAAGUAUAUGCCAAACCAGAGUAAUAAUAGAUCAAAAUUAAUAAUAAACCACUGCGAUGCAAAUGUGAAAGGGAAUUAGGCUUCCACCUAGUUCCUAAAUAAUUUUGGUGGUUGAAUUGCCCAACACAAAUAAUUGGUCUAACUAGUUUGCUCUAGUGUAUAAGUUUUACAGGUGUAAAAGGUUCACACUUAGCCAAUAAAAAGAUCAAGUAUAGGAUUCAACAAAGGAGCAAAGGGACAACCGAAGGCACCUCUGGUCUGGGGCACCGGACUGUCCGGUGUACACCGGACAGUGUCUGGUGCACCACCGGACAAUGUCCGGUGCACCAGAGGACUCCAACUCAAACUUGCCACCUUCGGGAAUUUCCAGAGGCACUCCGCUAAAAUUCACCGGACUGUCCGGUGUACACCGGACAGUGUCCGGUGCUCCAAAGAAGAGCCGCCUCAGGAACUCGCCAGCCUCGGGAAAACGCAGUGGCUGCUCCGCUAUAAUUCACCGGACAUGUCCGGUGUACACCGGACUAUCCGGUGAACCAGCAGAGCAACGGCUACUUCGCGCCAACGGUCACCUGCAGGCGCAUUUAAUGCGCGCCAGAAGCGCGCAGAAGUCAGGCACGCGCGCGCUGGCACACCGGACAUUGAACAAUACAUGUCCGGUGUGCACCGGACAUCCAGGCGGGCCCAGAAGACAGAAGCUCCAACGGUCGGAAUCCAACGACAUUGGUGACGUGGCUGGCGCACCGGACUGUCCGGUGCACCAUACGACAGACAGCCCCACCAAACGGCUAGUUUGGUGGUUGGGGCUAUAAAUACCCCAACCACCCCACCAUUCAUUGUAUCCAAGUUUUCCAGCUUCCAACCACUAUACAAGAGCUAGCAUUCAUUGCAAAGCACACCAAAAGAGAUCAAAUCCUCUCCCAACUCCACACAAAGCCUAAGUGACUAGAGAGAGUGAUUUGUAGUGUUCAUUUGAGCUCUUGCGCUUGGAUCGCUUCUUUUCUUUGGCAUUCUUUCUUGUGAUCAAACACUCACUUGUAAUUGAGGCAAGAGACACCAAUUGUGUGGUGGUCCUUGCGGGAAGUUUGAUUCCCAAGUGAUUUGAGAAGAGAAGCUCACUCGGUCCAAGGGACCGUUUGAGAGAGGGAAAGGGUUGAAAAAGACCCGGCCUUUGUGGCCUCCUCAACGGGGAGUAGGUUUGCGAGAACCAAACCUCGGUAAAACAAAUCCGUGUGUCUCACUUCUUAUUUGCUUGAGAUUUGUUUUGCACCCUCUCUCGCGGACUCGUUCUUAUUUCUAACGCUAACCCGGCUUGUAGUUGUGUUUAUAUUUGUAAAUUUCAGUUUCGCCCUAUUCACCCCCCCUCUAGGCGACUAUCAAUUGGUAUCAAAGCCCGGUGCUUCAUUAGAGCCUAACCGCUCGAAGUGAUGUCGGGAGAUCACGCCAACAAGGAGAUGGAGACCGGCGAAAAGCCCACUACAAGCCACCGGAGCACUUCAUCGGGAGAGUCCCGUACCAAGAGGAAGGAGAAGAAAGACUCCUCCAAAGGGAAGGAGAAGAAGAAGGACUCCUCCAAAGGGAAGGAGAAGAAAUCUUCUUCACACAAAGAGAAGAAGGAAAAAUCCUCUUCUCACAAGCCUCGUCGGAGUGGGGACAAGAAAAAGAAGAUGAGGAAAGUGGUCUACUACGAGACCGACUCUUCAUCAACAUCCACCUCCGGCUCCGACGCAGCGUCCAUCACUUCUAAGCGCCAAGAGCGCAAGAAGUAUAGUAAGAUUCCCCUACGCUACCCUCGCAUUUCUAAACAUACACCUUUACUUUCCGUCCCAUUAGGCAAACCGCCAACAUUUGAUGGUGAGGAUUAUGCUAGGUGGAGUGAUUUAAUGCGAUUUCAUCUAACCUCACUCCACAAAAGUAUAUGGGAUGUUGUUGAGUUUGGUGCACAUGUACCAUCCGUAGGGGAUGAAGACUAUGAUGAGGAUGGGGUGGCCCAAAUCGAGCACUUCAACUCUCAAGCAACAACAAUACUCCUCGCCUCUCUAAUAGAGAGGAGUAUAACAAAGUGCAAGGGUUGAAGAGCGCCAAGGAGGUUUGGGAUGUGCUCAAAACCGCACAUGAAGGAGAUGAGCUCACAAAGAUCACCAAGCGGGAGACGAUCGAGGGGGAGCUCGGUCGGUUCCGGCUUCGCAAAGGGGAGGAGCCACAAAACAUGUACAACCGGCUCAAGACCUUGGUGAAUCAAGUGCGCAACCUCGGGAGCAAGAAAUGGGAUGACCACGAAAUGGUUAAGGUUAUUCUAAGAUCUCUUAUUUUCCUUAACCCCACUCAAGUACAAUUAAUUCGUGGCAACCCAAGAUAUACACUAAUGACCCCCGAGGAAGUAAUCGGGAAUUUUGUAAGUUUUGAGUGCAUGAUCGAAGGCUCGAGGAAGAUCAACGAGCUUGAUGAUCCCUCCACAUCCGAAGCUCAACCCGUCGCAUUCAAGGCGACGGAGGAAAAGAAGGAGGAAUCUACACCAAGUAGACAACCAAUUGACGCCUCCAAGCUCGACAAUGAGGAAAUGGCGCUCGUCAUCAAGAGCUUCCGCCAAAUCCUCAAACAAAGGAGGGGAAAGACUACAAGCCCCGCUCCAAGAAGGUUUGCUACAAAUGUGGUAAGCCCGGUCAUUUUAUUGCAAAAUGUCCUAUAUCUAGUGACCGGGGCGACGACAAGAAGGGGAGAAGGAAGGAGAAGAAGAAAUACUACAAGAAGAGGGGCGGCGAUGCCCAUGUUUGUCGGGAGUGGGACUCCGACGAAAGCUCUAGCGACUCCUCCUCCGACGAGGACGCCGCCAACAUCGCCGUCACCAAGGGACUUCUCUUCCCCAACGUCGGCCACAAGUGCCUCAUGGCAAAGGACAACAAAAAGAAGAAGGUUAAAUCUAAAUCCUCCACUAAAUAUGAAUCCUCUAGUGAUGAAAAUGUUAGUGAUGAGGAAGAUAACUUGCACACUCUUUUUGUCAACCUCAACAUGCAACAAAAAGAGAAACUUAAUGAAUUGAUUAGUGUCAUUCAUGAAAAGGAUGAUCUCUUGGACACCCAAGAGGACUUCCUUAUUAAAGAAAAUAAGAAGCAUGUUAAGGUUAAAAAUGCUUAUGCUCUAGAAGUAGAGAAAUGUGAAAAAUUAUCUAGUGAGCUAAGCACUUGCCAUGAGACAAUAGACAACCUUAAAAAUGAAAAUGCUAAUUUAUUAGCUAAGGUUGAUUCCCAUGUUUGUAAUGUUUCAAUUACCAAUUCUAGAAAUAAUGAUGAUGAUUUACUUGCUAGGAUUGAAGAAUUGAACAUUUCUCUUGCUAGCCUUAGGAUUGAAAAUGAAAAAUUGCUUGCUAAGGCUAAAGAUUUUGAUGUUUGCAAAGCUACUAUUUCCGACCUUAGAACUAAGAAUGACAUGUUACAUGCUAAGGUUGUAGAAUUAAAAUCUUGCAAACCCUCUACAUCUACCGUUGAGCAUGUAUCUAUAUGUACUAGAUGUAGAGAUGUUGAUAUUAAUGCUAUUCAUGAUCACAUGUCUUUAAUUAAACAACAAAAUGAUCAUAUAGCAAAAUUAGAUGCUAAAAUUGCCGAGCAUAACUUAGAGAAUGAAAAAUUUAAAUUUGCUAGAAGUAUGCUCUAUAGUGGGAGACGCCCUGGAUUGGCUUCCAAAGGGGAGACAAUGUCAAACCUAGUGCCCCUCCUAAAAAAUUAUCUAAUUUUGUUAAGGGCAAGGCUCCCAUGCCUCAGGAUAACGAGGGUUACAUUUUGUACCCUGCCGGUUAUCCCGAGAGCAAGAUUAGGAGAAUUCACUCUAGGAAGUCUCACUCUGGCCCAAAUCAUGCUUUUAUGUAUAAGGGUGAGACAUCUAGUUCUAGGCAACCAACCCGUGCUAAGUUGCCUAAGAAAAGAACUCCUAAUGCAUCAAAUGAUCAUGGCAUUUCAUUCAAAACUUUUGAUGCAUCAUAUGUUUUAACUAACAAAUCCGGCAAGGUAGUUGCCAAGUUUGUUGGGGGCAAACACAAGGGCUCCAAGACUUGUGUUUGGGUACCCAAAGUUCUUGUUUCUAAUGCCAAAGGACCCAAAACCGUUUGGGUACCUAAAGUCAAGAACUAAAAUUGUUUUGUAGGUUUAUGCAUCCGGGGGCUCAAGUUGGAUCAUCGACAGCGGGUGCACAAACCACAUGACAGGGGAGAAGAAAAUGUUCUCCUCCUAUGAGAAAAACCAAGUUCCCCAACGAGCUAUCACAUUCGGGGAUGGAAAUCAAGGUUUGGUCAAAGGCUUGGGUAAAAUAGCUAUAUCACCUGACCAUUCUAUUUCCAAUGUUUUUCUUGUAGAUUCAUUAGAUUACAAUUUGCUUUCCGUAUCUCAAUUGUGCAAAAUGGGCUACAACUGUCUCUUUACUGAUGUAGGUGUCACUGUCUUUAGAAGAAGUGAUGAUUCAAUAGCAUUUAAGGGCGUGUUAGAGGGUCAGCUAUACUUAGUAGAUUUUGAUAGAGCUGAACUCGACACAUGCUUAAUUGCUAAGACUAACAUGGGCUGGCUUUGGCAUCGCCGACUAGCACAUGUUGGAAUGAAGAAUCUUCACAAGCUUCUAAAGGGAGAACACAUUUUAGGACUAACAAAUGUUCAUUUUGAGAAAGACAGGAUUUGUAGCGCAUGCCAAGCAGGGAAGCAAGUUGGUGCCCAUCAUCCACACAAGAAUAUCAUGACGACCGAUAGGCCGCUUGAGCUACUCCACAUGGAUCUAUUCGGCCCGAUUGCUUACAUAAGCAUCGGCGGGAGUAAGUAUUGUCUUGUAAUAGUGGAUGAUUAUUCUCGCUUCACUUGGGUAUUCUUUUUGCAGGAAAAAUCUCAAACCCAAGAAACCUUAAAGGGAUUCUUGAGACGAGCUCAAAACGAGUUCGGCUUAAGGAUCAAGAAAAUUAGAAGCGACAACGGGACAGAGUUCAAGAACUCACAAAUUGAAGGCUUCCUUGAGGAGGAGGGCAUCAAGCAUGAGUUCUCUUCUCCCUACACUCCACAACAAAAUAGUGUAGUGGAGAGGAAGAAUCGAACUCUAUUGGACAUGGCAAGAACCAUGCUUGAUGAGUACAAGACUUCGGAUCGGUUUUGGGCCGAGGCGGUCAACACCGCUUGCUACGCCAUCAACCGAUUAUAUCUACACCGAAUCCUCAAGAAGACAUCAUAUGAACUCCUAACCGGUAAAAAGCCCAACAUUUCAUAUUUUAGAGUCUUUGGUAGCAAAUGCUUUAUUCUUGUUAAAAGAGGUAGAAAAUCUAAAUUUGCUCCUAAGACUGUAGAAGGCUUUUUACUAGGAUAUGAUUCAAACACAAGGGCAUAUAGAGUCUUUAACAAGUCCACUGGACAAGUUGAAGUUUCUUGUGACGUUGUGUUUGAUGAGACUAACGGCUCUCAAGUAGAGCAAGUUGAUCUUCAUGAGAUAGGUAUUGAAGAGGCUCCGUGCAUCGCGCUAAGGAACAUGUCCAUUGGGGAUGUGUGUCCUAAGGAAUCCGAAGAACCUCUAAAUGCACAAGAUCAACCAUCCUCCUCCACGCAAGCAUCUCCACCGACUCAAAAUGAGGAUGAAGCUCAAGUUGAUGAAAUAGAAGAUCAAGCAAAUGAGCCACCUCAAGAUGACGGCAAUGAUCAAGGGGGAGAUGCAAAUGAUCAAGGCAAGGAGGAUGAAGAGCAAAGGCCGCCACACCCAAGAGUCCACCAAGCAAUCCAACGAGAUCACCCCGUCGACACCAUCCUCGGCGACAUUCAUAAGGGGUAACUACUAGAUCCCGUAUUGCACAUUUUUGUGAGCAUUACUCUUUUGUUUCCUCUAUUGAGCCACACAGGGUAGAGGAAGCACUCCAAGAUUCGGAUUGGGUGGUGGCGAUGCAAGAGGAGCUCAACAACUUCACUAGGAAUGAGGUGUGGCAUUUAGUUCCACGUCCUAAUCAAAAUGUUGUAGGAACCAAAUGGGUCUUCCGCAACAAGCAAGAUGAGCAUGGUGUGGUGACAAGGAACAAAACUCGACUUGUGGCCAAGGGAUACUCCCAAGUCAAAGGUUUGGAUUUCGGUGAAACUUAUGCACCCGUAGCUAGGCUUGAGUCAAUUCGCAUAUUAUUGGCCUAUGCUACUUACCAUGGCUUUAAGCUUUAUCAAAUGGACGUGAAAAGUGCCUUCCUCAAUGGACCGAUCAAGGAAGAGGUCUAUGUUGAGCAACCUCCCGGCUUUGAAGAUAGUGAGUACCCUAACCAUGUUUAUAAACUCUCUAAGGCGCUUUAUGGGCUUAAGCAAGCCCCAAGAGCAUGGUAUGAAUGCCUUAGAGAUUUUCUUAUCACUAAUGGCUUCAAAGUCGGAAAGGCCGAUCCUACGCUCUUUACCAAAACACUUGAGAAUGAUUUGUUUGUAUGCCAAAUUUAUGUUGAUGAUAUUAUAUUUGGGUCUACUAACGAGUCUACAUGUGAAGAGUUUAGUAGGAUCAUGACACAAAAGUUCGAGAUGUCUAUGAUGGGGGAGUUGAAGUAUUUCUUAGGAUUUCAAGUAAAGCAACUUCAAGAGGGCACCUUCAUUAGCCAAACGAAGUAUACUCAAGACAUUCUAAACAAGUUUGGGAUGAAGGAUGCCAAGCCCAUCAAAACACCCAUGGGAACUAAUGGGCAUCUCGACCUCGACACGGAAGGUAAGUCCGUGGAUCAAAAGGUAUACCGGUCGAUAAUAGGUUCUUUACUCUAUUUAUGUGCAUCUUGACCGGAUAUUAUGCUUUCCGUAUGCAUGUGUGCAAGAUUCUAAGCCGACCCUAAGGAAGCUCACCUUACGGCCGUAAAACGAAUCUUGAGAUAUUUGGCUUAUACUCCUAAGUUUGGGCUUUGGUAUCCUAGGGGAUCCACUUUUGAUUUAAUUGGUUAUUCGGAUGCCGAUUGGGCGGGGUGCAAAAUCAAUAGAAAGAGCACAUCGGGGACUUGUCAGUUCUUGGGAAGAUCCUUGGUGUCUUGGGCUUCAAAAAAGCAAAAUUUGGUCGCUCUUUCCACCGCUGAAGCCGAGUACAUUGCCGCAGGCCAUUGUUGCGCGCAAUUGCUUUGGAUGAGGCAAACCCUGCGGGACUACGGUUACAAAUUAACCAAGGUCCCUUUGCUAUGUGAUAAUGAGAGUGCAAUCAAGAUGGCGGAUAAUCUCGUCGAGCAUAGCCGCACUAAACACAUAGCCAUUCGGUAUCACUUUUUAAGGGAUCACCAACAAAAGGGAGAUAUCGAGAUUUCUUAUAUUAACCCUAAAGAUCAAUUAGCCGAUAUCUUCACCAAGCCUCUUGAUGAACAAACUUUUAACAAACUUAGGCAUGAGCUCAAUAUUCUUGAUUCGCGCAACUUCUUUUGCUAACUUCCACACAUAGCUCAUUUGUAUACCUUUGAUCAUGUCUCUUUCAUAUGCUAUGACUAAUAUGUUUUUCAAGUCUAUUUCAAACCAAGUCAUAGGUGUAUUGAAAGGGAAUUGGAGUCUUCGGCGAGAAAGCAUGAGCACUAAGCAAAAGGACUUUGUCUUUGGUAUAAUCUUAACUCAUUUAUUUUUUGACCAAAGGGGAAGAAAGUAAUUCGAGGGCUCUAAUGAUUCCGUUUUUGGCGAUUCAUGCCAAAGUGGGAGAAAGUAUGAGCCCAAAGCAAAAGGACCGCACCACCACCAAUUUCAAAAACUUAGCUUUUUAAAGAGUAUUUUCAAUUGGUAUCUUAUUGUGUUCAAAAGGGGGAGAAAGUAGUAUUUCAAAAAUGAUAUAUCAAAACCCUCUUGAACACUAAGAGGAGGAUCUCAUUUAGGGGGAGUUUUGUUUAGUCAAAGGAAAAGCAUUUGAAACAGGGGGAGAAAAUUUCAAAUCUUGAAAAUACUUUGCAAAAUCUUAUUCAUUUACCUUUGACUUUUUGCAAAAGAACUUUGAAAAAAAUUUUACAAAAUAGUUUGCAAAAACAAAACAUGUGGUGCAAGCGUGGUCCAAAAUGUUAAAAAUAAAGAAACGAUCCAUGCAUAUCUUGUAAGUAUUAAUAUUGGCUCAAUUCCAAGCAACCUUUGCACUUACAUUAUGCAAACUAGUUCAAUUAUGCAUUUCUAUACUUGCUUUGGUUUGUGUUGGCAUCAAUCACCAAAAAGGGGGAGAUUGAAAGGGAAUUAGGCUUUCACCUAGUUCCUAAAUAAUUUUGGUGGUUGAAUUGCCCAACACAAAUAAUUGGUCUAACUAGUUUGCUCUAGUGUAUAAGUUUUACAGGUGUAAAAGGUUCACACUUAGCCAAUAAAAAGAUCAAGUAUAGGAUUCAACAAAGGAGCAAAGGGACAACCGAAGGCACCUCUGGUCUGGGGCACCGGACUGUCCGGUGUACACCGGACAGUGUCCGGUGCACCACCGGACAAUGUCCGGUGCACCAGAGGACUCCAACUCAAACUUGCCACCUUCGGGAAUUUCCAGAGGCACUCCGCUAAAAUUCACCGGACUGUCCAGUGUACACCGGACAGUGUUCGGUGCUCCAAAGAAGAGCCGCCUCAGGAACUCGCCAGCCUCGGGAAAACGCAGUGGCUGCUCCGCUAUAAUUCACCGGACAUGUCCGGUGUACACCGGACUAUCCGGUGAACCAGCAGAGCAACGACUACUUCGCGCCAACAGUCACCUGCAGGCACAUUUAAUGCGCGCCAGAAGCGCGCAGAAGUUAGGCACGCGCGCGCUGGCACGCCGGACAUUGAACAGUACAUGUCCUGUGUGCACCGGACAUCCAGGCGGGCCCAGAAGACAGAAGCUCCAACAGUCGGAAUCCAACGACAUUGGUGAUGUGGCUGGCGCACCGGACAUGUCCGGUGUGCACCGGACUGUCCGGUGCACCAUACGACAGACAGCCCCACCAAACGGCUAGUUUGGUGGUUGGGGCUAUAAAUACCCCAACCACCCCACCAUUCAUUGUAUCCAAGUUUUCCAGCUUCCAACCACUAUACAAGAGCUAGCAUUCAUUGCAAAGCACACCAAAAGAGAUCAAAUCCUCUCCCAACUCCACACAAAGCCUAAGUGACUAGAGAGAGUGAUUUGUAUUGUUCAUUUGAGCUCUUGCGCUUGGAUCGCUUCUUUUCUUUGGCAUUCUUUCUUGUGAUCAAACACUCACUUGUAAUUGAGGCAAGAGACACCAAUUGUGUGGUGGUCCUUGCGGGAAGUUUGAUUCCCAAGUGAUUUGAGAAGAGAAGCUCACUCGGUCCAAGGGACCGUUUGAGAGAGGGAAAGGGUUGAAAAAGACCCGGCCUUUGUGGCCUCCUCAACAGGAAGUAGGUUUGCGAGAACCGAACCUCGGUAAAACAAAUCCGUGUGUCUCACUUCUUAUUUGCUUGAGAUUUGUUUUGCACCCUCUCUCGCGGACUCGUUCUUAUUUCUAACGCUAACCCGGCUUGUAGUUGUGUUUAUAUUUGUAAAUUUCAGUUUCGCCCUAUUCACCCCCCAUCUAGGCGACUAUCAAAAUGACCAGUUAAAUUUAAUUCCAUAAGUUACUCAUGUGAGGGUCCGAGUCGCUCAUGACUGUGAGCACAACUGAUAUACCAGUUUUACACAUUGCAGAGGUUGCGCAUCUUUACCCAUAAGUCAUGUUACCCAUCUGCCAAGGGGUCAUGAAUCCCAUACACCUCUACCAAGGAAGCGAGGCAGGGUAACAGUACGAGGCCUUUACAAAGUUCCACUAGCUUCAGAAAACCCGCUACAGUUUCUAGGAAGCGCAAUGCAGGGAUCGCCCGUCUGACAACCAUCACAACAAAAUCAACCCGAGAACCUCCCUACACCAACCACUCCCCUACUGCCCUUGCCCCUUUCGGGUAAGGUAGUCCUUCACUAGCUUUCCUAAUUAGUCAGCCAAGGGCGUCCCAUACCACCCUUGUGGUAGCACUAUUUUCUCGGGUGGUCGCUCCAUGUUCCAAUUAACAUAAUGAUCUUAUCAUGAAUAGCAAAUAACAAAUUGAUAAUAAAAGCAUGAUCAUGAAUAAAUAUGUAUCUCAAUACCCAAAACCACAUAAAGCAAUAGCAGGAACUACCCAAAAGUUUAGUGGUAAACAAGGUAUAAAGAUAGCCAAACUAGGGUAACCUAUUGGGUCCCAUAAAAAUUAACCUAAGCAGAUCAUAAUGAUUAACAAAACAUUAUUAGGUAAAUAGAAGUGAUCAAGGGCACAACUUGCCUUCAACGAGCUCCUGCUCAGCAGUCUCCACCUACUGAACACCUGAGUCCUUAGUG